GAUGAACGCUGGCGGCGUGCCUAAUACAUGCAAGUCGAGCGAACAGAUAAGGAGCUUGCUCCUUUGACGUUAGCGGCGGACGGGUGAGUAACACGUGGAUAACCUACCUAUAAGUCUGGGAUAACUUCGGGAAACCGGAGCUAAUACCGGAUAACAUAUUGAACCGCAUGGUUCAAUAGUGAAAGGCGGCUUUGCUGUCACUUAUAGAUGGAUCCGCGCCGUAUUAGCUAGUUGGUAAGGUAACGGCUUACCAAGGCAACGAUACGUAGCCGACCUGAGAGGGUGAUCGGCCACACUGGAACUGAGACACGGUCCAGACUCCUACGGGAGGCAGCAGUAGGGAAUCUUCCGCAAUGGGCGAAAGCCUGACGGAGCAACGCCGCGUGAGUGAUGAAGGUCUUCGGAUCGUAAAACUCUGUUAUCAGGGAAGAACAAAUGUGUAAGUAACUGUGCACAUCUUGACGGUACCUGAUCAGAAAGCCACGGCUAACUACGUG
This 497-nucleotide ribosomal RNA is filed under the name uncultured bacterium. RNAcentral describes it as "partial 16S ribosomal RNA". It matches the Rfam family "Bacterial small subunit ribosomal RNA", at positions 28 to 507 of the family's 1533-position model. The record is from RNAcentral.